AUGCACGCUGGCGGCGUGCCUAAUCCAUGCAAGUCGAGCGAACGGACGAGAAGCUUGCUUUUCUGAUGUUAGCGGCGGACGGGUGAGUAACACGUGGAUAACCUACCUAUAAGACUGGGAUAACUUCGGGAAACCGGAGCUAAUAUCGGAUAAUAUUUUGAACCGCAUGGUUCAAAAGUGAAAGACGGUCUUGCUGUCACUUAUAGAUGGAUCCGCGCUGCAUUAGCUAGUUGGUAAGGUAACGGCUUACCAAGGCAACGAUGCAUAGCCGACCUGAGAGGGUGAUCGGCCACACUGGAACUGAGACACGGUCCAGACUCCUACGGGAGGCAGCAGUAGGGAAUCUUCCGCAAUGGGCGAAAGCCUGACGGAGCAACGCCGCGUGAGUGAUGAAGGUCUUCGGAUCGUAAAACUCUGUUAUUAGGGAAGAACAUAUGUGUAAGUAACUGUGCACAUCUUGACGGUACCUAAUCAGAAAGCCACGGCUAACUACGUG
RNAcentral lists this ribosomal RNA (496 nucleotides) under uncultured bacterium. RNAcentral describes it as "partial 16S ribosomal RNA". It matches the Rfam family "Bacterial small subunit ribosomal RNA", at positions 29 to 507 of the family's 1533-position model. The record is from RNAcentral.